CGAGGUGGGCGGGACGGGUGAGUAAUGUCUAGGGAAACUGCCUGGUGGAGGGGGAUAACUACUGGAAACGGUAGCUAAUACCGCAUAACGUCGCAAGACCAAAGAGGGGGACCUUCGGGCCUCUUGCCAUCGGAUGUGCCCAGAUGGGAUUAGCUAGUAGGUGGGGUAACGGCUCACCUAGGCGACGAUCCCUAGCUGGUCUGAGAGGAUGACCAGCCACACUGGAACUGAGACACGGUCCAG
Molecule: ribosomal RNA, 243 nt
Filed under: uncultured bacterium
Lineage: Bacteria
Description: partial 16S ribosomal RNA
Rfam family: Bacterial small subunit ribosomal RNA
Source: RNAcentral